CCUACGGGAGGCAGCAGUCGAGAAUCAUUCACAAUGGGGGAAACCCUGAUGGUGCGACGCCGCGUGGGGGAAUGAAGGUCUUCGGAUUGUAAACCUCUGUCAUGUGGGAGCAAAUUAAAAAGAUAGUACCACAAGAGGAAGAGACGGCUAACUCGGUGCCAGCAGCCGCGGUAAUACAGAGGUCUCAAGCGUUGUUCGGAAUCACUGGGCGUAAAGCGUGCGUAGGCUGUUUCGUAAGUCGUGUGUGAAAGGCGCGGGCUCAACCCGCGGACGGCAGAUGAUACUGCGAGACUAGAGUAAGGGAGGGGGAACCGGAAUUCUCGGUGUAGCAGUGAAAUGCGUAGAUAUCGAGAGGAACACUCGUGGCGAAGGCGGGUUCCUGGACAUUAACUGACGCUGAGGCACGAAGGCCAGGGGAGCGAAAGGGAUUAGAUACCCCAGUAGUC
This 446-nucleotide ribosomal RNA is filed under the name uncultured bacterium. Its description in RNAcentral is "partial 16S ribosomal RNA". It matches the Rfam family "Bacterial small subunit ribosomal RNA", at positions 338 to 795 of the family's 1533-position model. The record is from RNAcentral.